Molecule: long non-coding RNA, 216 nt
Filed under: Nicotiana benthamiana
Lineage: Eukaryota; Viridiplantae; Streptophyta; Magnoliopsida; Solanales; Solanaceae
Description: long non-coding RNA (NBEN_LNC000499)
Source: RNAcentral
UCAGACAUUGCCCUCAUCUGAUUUUGCUUUCUCUCCGUUUUUGAAUACACAUACACAUACAAGCAGAGAUGGGGAAUUUCAGUCCGAAAAAAUCGAGUGAACCAUAGUGAGAACAGAUCUGGACGAGCUGAAAGCAGGGUAAAAAACUUUCCAAUUUUGAAGCAAGGUUCAGUUGCUGAAGUUUCGGUGGCGAUUUGGUCUGUGUUCGGGUUUAUU